AAGUCAUCUUCUUCUUCUUCCCCUUUAGUGUUCCCCGAAGGGGAUGACGAAGGGGUGUUCCCCUUCUUCCCCUUUAGGGGACGGAGACUUUGGGGAAGAACCAAAGUCUUCCCCAAAGGGGAACCCCAAAGGGGAACCCCAAAGUCUCCGUCCCCUAAAGGGGAAGAAGAAGAACACCCCCUUCUUCCCCUUUAGGGGACUUUUUCCCCUUUGGUGUGUUCCCCUUCGGGGAGACUAAGGGGUUCCCCUUCGGGGAUGACGAAGGGGUGUUCCCCUUCGGGGAUGAACUAAAGGGGUUCCCCUUUAGGGGAAGAACACUAAAGGGGAAGAUGACUUUGGGGUUCCCCCUUUAGGGGAAGAACUAAAGGGGAAGAUGACUUUGGGGUUCCCCUAAAGGGGAAGAACUAAAGGGGAAGAUGAUUUUGGGGUUCCCCUUUAGGGGAAGAACUAAAGGGGAAGACAACGACGGGUUUCGUCCGAAAGUAGUUUUACUUUAGGAGUUCUUCUUCGGUAUCCGGCCGAAAACAGUAGCUUUAGGGGAGUCUUAGAGUGCACUCUUCUUCCCCUUUAGAGUUCCCCAAAGGGGAGACGAAGGGGUGUUCCCCUUCGGGGAUACGAAGGGGAAGAACUAAAGGGGAACCCUUCUUCGUCCUCUUGUCCCCUUUAGUUCUUCUUCUUCUUCCCCUUUAGUUCAUCCCCUUUAGGGGAACUAAAGAAGAUGAACNNN
This 727-nucleotide long non-coding RNA is filed under the name Volvox carteri. RNAcentral describes it as "long non-coding RNA (VCAR_LNC004238)". Lineage: Eukaryota; Viridiplantae; Chlorophyta; Chlorophyceae; Chlamydomonadales; Volvocaceae. The record is from RNAcentral.